RNAcentral lists this transfer RNA (76 nucleotides) under bacterium. RNAcentral describes it as "tRNA-Thr". It matches the Rfam family "tRNA". From Rfam's summary of the family: Transfer RNA (tRNA) molecules are approximately 80 nucleotides in length. Their secondary structure includes four short double-helical elements and three loops (D, anti-codon, and T loops). RNAcentral also lists the same sequence under 3 other names. The record is from RNAcentral.
GCCCACGUAGCUCAGCCGGUAGAGCACUUGCAUGGUAAGCAAGCGGUCAGCAGUUCAAAUCUGCUCGUGGGCUCCA